AAAAAAAAAAAAAAAAAAAAAAGAAAAGAAAAAGAAAUCUGGGUACCCGCGAAUGCGAUUUUUUUUAGGUUUACCGAUGAUCAGUUUAGCAGUGCCUGGGAGCUCUUAUACCAAGUUUGUUUUCGCAAUAUUGAGUCCCACCUUAGCUAAGCUUGUGUGUAUUUUAAACUCCCAUGGAAGUCAGGAAAUGUCCGCAAACGCGAUUUCUGGUUACCAAGCUCCGUUUGGCAAUAGCAAGUCCUGCCGAACGCGACUUUUUCCUCUUGUGGACCAAGUCUGAAUAGACCAGCUACUGCGAUUUUUAAGUCGUAGUAAAAAAGGUUUAACCGUGACUGCUUUUUUUUGUUGGUGUUGUUUGUUUUUGUUUUUGUUUUCGUAGGAAAUGUAGACUUAGGUGUAACAUGUACCGGUUUAGAUCUGACAGAGAUAUCACAAUUGUAGGAUUGCAUCUUUUAGCAAGGUUUGUAAUUUCUUCUUUCUAGGAUUGGUUCUCUGUAAUUUUUGCUUAUUUUUAAAUUCUCUCUUUGUCUUUUGCUCUGAGAACGAUGUUACCGAUGUGUUUGCUUUCCAUGUUUACUUGCAUUUUAGCCUUUAUUUUUUUAAUUUUGAUUUUAUUUAAAUGUUAUGUAUUUUUUUUCUACUAAUUUUGAGCGUCUCAGCUUCCUGCUUCUUUACUUACAUUCUCUCAGGAUCCGGGGAGCCGAGCUCGGUCUCAGUCUCCCUGCUGUCAGGUGCCAGGUUGUGUCUGGUGGCUCUCCUUCGUAUGCGGAGCUGAUGGUUUUGCAUCAGCGCUUUUGCCAGUAGAGCCGACUAGCGUUUUCUCAGUUACGGCACCGUUCUUAGCGCCCAGUGUGACGUUUCCCAUUCGCCAGGUCCUUAUGUUCUCUGUGCUGUCACUUUCUUGGUUCUCGCACCGCUAGUAUCUGCUAAAGAACUUCCUAAACCAUGUUUUACUGUGCAGAACGGUGAUUGCACGGAGCCGCUGUACGCACUAGUAAUUUCAUAGCACCGUUAGCUGGCGCUUUUUCUGUCACAACACAUUAAAACGGGUUAAAAUACUGCAAGCGGAUUAAACACAUUAAGAGGAUUAAAACAUUAAAAUGUCUCAACACAUUUUUCUGACACAACACAUUUAAACGGAGUGGGUUCAUUCCUCCGAAGAGGAUGUUUAGGCGUGGAAGCACCGCUGUUUCCCAAGAGCACGGUUUCUCUCUGGCAGCACCACUUAUGGCACCAAAACAGGUAUUUUUUGGCAACACCAGCACUAUUCGCUAGGUGCCGGCGCUUGCUGAGUCCCAGCGCCGCCAGUUUCUCUUUCGGUCGUUAAGUAGCUCAGAGCCCUAGCGGACAGUUUUCAGGUGGCAGUAAUGCUCAUUUCCUGGAACAGAUGGUUCGUGGCCCUUGAAGCGCUGCGAUCUGUAAAGCUAGUUCUCUGCAAGGGCUUUGACUCCUGAGUCUAAAAAGGUCACUAACUCCCGCUAAAUUGAGAGCAAUUGAAGCCUCAUCUUCAGAUCUAGGAGAAGAUGAAAAUCAGAAUAAGCUGCAGUCAUGAGACAUGGCGCCAGAAAUUAAGACUAUUCAAACCCUCUAGUCCCAGGGACUAUUGAAGAAGAAGUGGAUAAGGUCUAGAUCUGUCACCCAGGCUGGAGUACAGUG
Molecule: long non-coding RNA, 1656 nt
Filed under: Homo sapiens (human)
Lineage: Eukaryota; Metazoa; Chordata; Mammalia; Primates; Hominidae
Description: HSALNT0326316
Source: RNAcentral